RNAcentral lists this ribosomal RNA (213 nucleotides) under Escherichia coli. RNAcentral describes it as "partial 16S ribosomal RNA". It matches the Rfam family "Bacterial small subunit ribosomal RNA", at positions 1333 to 1533 of the family's 1533-position model. Lineage: Bacteria; Pseudomonadati; Pseudomonadota; Gammaproteobacteria; Enterobacterales; Enterobacteriaceae. The record is from RNAcentral.
CGCUAGUAAUCGUGGAUCAGAAUGCCACGGUGAAUACGUUCCCGGGCCUUGUACACACCGCCCGUCACACCAUGGGAGUGGGUUGCAAAAGAAGUAGGUAGCUUAACCUUCAGGAGGGCGCUUACCACUUUGUGAUUCAUGACUGGGGUGAAGUCGUAACAAGGUAACCGUAGGGGAACCUGCGGUUGGAUCACCUCCUUACCUUAAAGAAGC